CAAUAGCGUAUAUUAAAGUUGUUGCGGUUAAAAAGCUCGUAGUUGGAUUUCUGCUGAGAACGACCGGUCCGCCCUUUGGGUGUGUAUCUGGCUCUUUCUUGGCAUCUUCUUGGUGAACGUUGCUGCACUUGACUGUGUGGAGCGCUACCCAGGACUUUUACUUUGAGGAAAUUAGAGUGUUUCAAGCAGGCAUACGCCUUGAAUACAUUAGCAUGGAAUAAUAAGAUAGGACCUCGGUUCUAUUUUGUUGGUUUCUAGAGCUGAGGUAAUGAUUAAUAGGGAUAGUUGGGGGCAUUCGUAUUUAACUGUCAGAGGUGAAACUCUUGGAUUUGUUAAAGACGGACUACUGCGAAAGCAUUUGCCAAGGAUGUUUUCAUUG
This 379-nucleotide ribosomal RNA is filed under the name uncultured eukaryote. RNAcentral's name for it is "partial 18S ribosomal RNA". It matches the Rfam family "Eukaryotic small subunit ribosomal RNA", at positions 592 to 975 of the family's 1831-position model. The record is from RNAcentral.